RNAcentral lists this ribosomal RNA (822 nucleotides) under Klebsiella pneumoniae. Its description in RNAcentral is "bacterial SSU rRNA". It matches the Rfam family "Bacterial small subunit ribosomal RNA", at positions 535 to 1384 of the family's 1533-position model. Lineage: Bacteria; Pseudomonadati; Pseudomonadota; Gammaproteobacteria; Enterobacterales; Enterobacteriaceae. The record is from RNAcentral.
GGAACGCUAUCGGUAUACUGGGCGUAAGCGCACGCAGGCGGUCUGUCAAGUCGGAUGUGAAUCCCCGGGCUCAACCUGGGAACUGCAUUCGAAACUGGCAGGCUAGAGUCUUGUAGAGGGGGGUAGAAUUCCAGGUGUAGCGGUGAAAUGCGUAGAGAUCUGGAGGAAUACCGGUGGCGAAGGCGGCCCCCUGGACAAAGACUGACGCUCAGGUGCGAAAGCGUGGGGAGCAAACAGGAUUAGAUACCCUGGUAGUCCACGCCGUAAACGAUGUCGAUUUGGAGGUUGUGCCCUUGAGGCGUGGCUUCCGGAGCUAACGCGUUAAAUCGACCGCCUGGGGAGCACGGCCGCGAGGUUAAACUCAAAUGAAUUGACGGGGGCUCGCACAAGCGGCGGAGCAUGUGGUUUACUUCGAUGCAAGGGGAAGAACCUUACCUGGUCUUGACAUCCACAGAACUUUCCAGAGAUGGAUUGGUGCUUUCGGGAACUGUGAGACAGGUGCUGCAUGGCUGUCGUCAGCUCGUGUUGUGAAAUGUUGGUUAAGUCCCGCACGAGCGCACCCUUAUCCUUUGUUGCCAGCGUUCGGCCGGGAACUCAAGAGACUGCCAGUGAUAAACUGGAGGAAGGUGGGAUGACGUCAAGUCAUCAUGCCCUUACGACCAGGCUACACACGUGCUACAUGGCAUAUACUAGAGAGCGACCUCGCGAGAGCAAGCGACCUCAUAAAGUAUGUCGUAGUCCGAUUGAGUCUGCACUCGACUCAUGAGUCGGAACGCUAGUAAUCGUAGAUCAGAUGCUACGUGAUCGCGCCCCGGGGCUAAA